This 408-nucleotide ribosomal RNA is filed under the name bacterium enrichment culture clone ALO1_GLFRUDD03FT1MS. RNAcentral describes it as "bacterial SSU rRNA". It matches the Rfam family "Bacterial small subunit ribosomal RNA", at positions 9 to 417 of the family's 1533-position model. The record is from RNAcentral.
GAGUUUGAUCAUGGCUCAGAUUGAACGCUGGCGGCAUGCCUUACACAUGCAAGUCGAACGGCAGCACGGGAGCUUGCUCCUGGUGGCGAGUGGCGAACGGGUGAGUAAUGCAUCGGAACGUAUCCUGGAGUGGGGGAUAACGUAGCGAAAGUUACGCUAAUACCGCAUAUUCUGUGAGCAGGAAAGCGGGGGACCUUCGGGCCUCGCGCUCUUGGAGCGGCCGAUGUCGGAUUAGCUAGUUGGUGAGGUAAAAGCUCACCAAGGCGACGAUCCGUAGCAGGUCUGAGAGGAUGAUCUGCCACACUGGAACUGAGACACGGUCCAGACUCCUACGGGAGGCAGCAGUGGGGAAUUUUGGACAAUGGGGGCAACCCUGAUCCAGCCAUGCCGCGUGAGUGAAGAAGGCCU